Humulus lupulus (European hop) is the source of this 399-nucleotide long non-coding RNA. RefSeq lists it as uncharacterized. The record is from RefSeq and is a predicted model, not a curated record. The transcript is spliced from 3 exons. NCBI's taxonomy places the organism in Eukaryota, Viridiplantae, Streptophyta, Magnoliopsida, Rosales, Cannabaceae.
UGGAGUUUUAUCUUCAUAUAUAGCUAUUUGAUGAUUUGUUUAUUAAUUCUUCUAUUAACUUUCAUUCAAUUUUUGGUCUCUUAUUUAUAGGUUAGGAAAUCAAUCAAAGAGACUGCCUUAAUUCUCUCUAAUGAUGAUGUUGAUGGUGGCAGGGCUUGGCAAGGCGAGGUGUAGGCUCGAUGCAUGGAGGUGGGACUGUGGGGAUGGUGUUGUAACAGCGGGGACUUCAAUGCGACUAGGGUACCGUUGCCGUGAAGAAAAUGGUUUAUUUUGAUUACAUCCCCACUUAUCUAAAAGGCUAAGCUUCUAUGGAGGGGUGCUGAGUGUUGGAAUGAGUGUUUAAAGCUUUUGGGCGUUGCUGAAGCAGCAGAAGCAUCAAUGGAUUCUGACCAGUUAAGC